GGGCGAUUAGCUCAGUUGGUAGAGCGUCUCGUUUACACGGAAAUUCCCCGCUCGAUCCAUCGCCUU
RNAcentral lists this transfer RNA (66 nucleotides) under Sphingobium sp. MI1205. Its description in RNAcentral is "tRNA-Val". Lineage: Bacteria; Pseudomonadati; Pseudomonadota; Alphaproteobacteria; Sphingomonadales; Sphingobiaceae. The record is from RNAcentral.